RNAcentral lists this long non-coding RNA (1718 nucleotides) under Brassica napus (rape). Its description in RNAcentral is "long non-coding RNA (BNAP_LNC023229)". Lineage: Eukaryota; Viridiplantae; Streptophyta; Magnoliopsida; Brassicales; Brassicaceae. The record is from RNAcentral.
UUCACAAUUAUAUAUGUUCAAGUGUUGGGAGUACAAUCUUUAAUGUGCAAUACAAACCAUACGAGAGACCGGCUAAACCCUAGCAAGUAUCAAAUGUCAUGGCUUCAAGAGACGCCUUCACCGCUUAACCAUGUCAACUUGUAAAGCAUGAACCAAGCGCUCGUAGCUUGGUGGUAAAGGAGGUACAGUUGUACUGCCCGCCACCCGGGUUCGAGCCUUGGCCACAACAGAUUUAACAUCCUUUCCGUUGGGGCGCUGGACGAGGGGAUAGUUGGGAAUGUCGCUGCCCAGAUAUCAGAGUUAUCAAAAAAAAAAAACUUGUAAAGCAUGCCUUACUUAUUUUGUUGUAAUCGUAAAUUCGUAACUUAUAUUGUAAGUUAUUCAUAUGAUUACAACUUGCAAGAUAAGCUCAUGGAUCACAUCAUUAACAAACGAACAAAAAUACCUAAAAUCAAGUAGAAUUUUAGAUAAGAAUUAACAAUGAAAAACAAAAUUAUUGGUGGUGGAGGUUGCGGAGCCGAAAGCGUUUCUCAAGCUAAAAAACAAAUUGUGUAAAAUUAUUAUUUUGUGCCACUGAAAGUAACAAUUUUCAUGAAGCUUAUACUUUGACCCUUGCAAGAAAAGAUUAUUCUAUAUUUGGAUCUCAUUUUCACAUUGGUCGGUGGUGGUCCUGGUGGAUUGUAAUAAACUAUGAGGCUAAGGUCAGAUGUAUUUGCUAACUCUAUACAAAUUAUAUUAUAUUACAUAAAACCUGAUAAAUUUCCCCCCAUUUUCUUACAUUAAUUUUAUUUUAAAAGCUAUGUUUAUACUUCAUAGUCAAUUCUGAUUAUUUAUGUGAUACAUUUUGGAUUCUUUGGUAGAAAAUACUAAUAACAAAAGAACAUGCAAAUGGUAUAAUACACAUGUAUUCUUAUUGUUUGAAAUUUUGUUUCUUACGUUUAGCAAAAGGUUUAUUCAGAGUCGAUAUAUAGUGCAUGUUGGAAAACAUUAAAUUUGUGGACGUUGGUAAAUCCACGGGAUGAGCCGUUGGACAUUAGACACAAACAAAACAAUAUGUUUAGAAAAUAUGCAUUCACAAUUAUAUAUGUUCAAGUGUUGGGAGUACAAUCUUUAAUGUGCAAUACAAACCAUACGAGAGACCGGCUAAACCCUAGCAAGUAUCAAAUGUCAUGGCUUCAAGAGACGCCUUCACCGCUUAACCAUGUCAACUUGUAAAGCAUGAACCAAGCGCUCGUAGCUUGGUGGUAAAGGAGGUACAGUUGUACUGCCCGCCACCCGGGUUCGAGCCUUGGCCACAACAGAUUUAACAUCCUUUCCGUUGGGGCGCUGGACGAGGGGAUAGUUGGGAAUGUCGCUGCCCAGAUAUCAGAGUUAUCAAAAAAAAAAAACUUGUAAAGCAUGCCUUCUUCCGAGACUUGAAGCACGCAUAUACUAUCAACGAAAUUAUUGGGUUGGCCAAAGCUAGUAAUAUCAUGUUCCACUAAUAAACUAAGAAAAAUAAAAAACCUAGCAAAGAAAGUAAGAUAAGAAAAAACAUAGUCAUGGAUCAGAAUAAUUGUGGUUGAAUAUAAUAAACAAAACCGUAAAGGGCAGAGACAAAACUCAGAGCAUCUGCAUCCCUUAAGGUUUCUUAUUUUUUAUUUUUUAUUUUUUUCUGAUUAGAAAAAAAUAAAAAACGCUCCAAUCGCGGACCGCUACGUGUCGGUGGGACCACAAAC